Long non-coding RNA from Carassius carassius (crucian carp), 402 nucleotides. RefSeq lists it as uncharacterized. The transcript is spliced from 3 exons. The record is from RefSeq and is a predicted model, not a curated record. NCBI's taxonomy places the organism in Eukaryota, Metazoa, Chordata, Actinopteri, Cypriniformes, Cyprinidae.
UAAUCUGAAAUUAAAAUGAGCAAACAAUGAAUUAAUUUUAUUCAUAGAUAUGGAUUAUGAUUAUUUCUGUAAUAAGACUUUAUUUACUUUUUUAAAUCUUUUAUUAACAAGAUACUAUACUGUUUAAUUUUCUUCAAAAGGUAAUGGCACUAGCCGGAUUCAAGUGGCCCAGGAUGGGCUGUGCUCCUGCUGCUGUGAUCCGAGCGGGUACAUUGGACGGUCCUGGCCCAGGCAUAAGUCGCUGGAGGAUAGGGAAAGGCUGUAACAGACAUUCUGGUGGAAGAAUGGACAGAGAGGACAUAAUGCUGCCGGCACACUGACAGACUGAGGCAAUGGUUAACUCAUGUAAACUUUUACAGUGGGGCCAGUGUCUUGUGCUGGAUAAAGAUAUGCUUCCACAAA